Molecule: unclassified non-coding RNA, 201 nt
Filed under: Hevea brasiliensis (rubber tree)
Lineage: Eukaryota; Viridiplantae; Streptophyta; Magnoliopsida; Malpighiales; Euphorbiaceae
Source: RNAcentral
GACAAGUCCACGAAUAUAUACCGUCAGUAAAAGCUGUAUUUGAGCGUGCACGUACACGUUGAGUCUACUAAAGCCUAAUGAGCUCAGCUCAGAAAAAAGUGAAACUAAUAUCUACAAGAUGUUAAUUCAUUUAUCCUUCCAGUGAGUGUCAACCAACGUCUCUGAAUGUACCACAAAACAAGCAUACCCACACAGCUUAGA